RNAcentral lists this non-coding RNA (113 nucleotides) under pig gut metagenome. RNAcentral's name for it is "FMN riboswitch (RFN element)". It matches the Rfam family "FMN riboswitch aptamer (RFN element)". Rfam says of the family: The RFN element is a highly conserved domain that is found frequently in the 5'-untranslated regions of prokaryotic mRNAs that encode for flavin mononucleotide (FMN) biosynthesis and transport proteins. This element is a metabolite-dependent riboswitch that directly binds FMN in the absence of proteins. The record is from RNAcentral.
ACUUCGGGGCAGGGUGAAAUUCCCUACCGGUGGUGACAGCCCACGACCCGGACCUUUGUCCGGCUGACUCGGUGAAAUUCCGGGGUCGACGGUACAGUCCGGAUGAAAGAAGU